Molecule: long non-coding RNA, 557 nt
Organism: Aethalodelphis obliquidens (Pacific white-sided dolphin)
Lineage: Eukaryota; Metazoa; Chordata; Mammalia; Artiodactyla; Delphinidae
Exons: 3
Source: RefSeq, a predicted model, not a curated record
ACGCGCCGGGUGGGCUUUGCGGUCCAGGAGGGAGUAGGCCCAGCACCCAGUCUCCUAGCAACACGCUGGCGGCGCACGGCAUCCGGAGCGGAGAGAUGCCGGGCUGCUGGGCGGGGACUCAGAGGUUCCCAGGGUCGUCUGGGCAGGGCCAUCCCCAGGGCAGCGGGGAGAGGACAGGGUCUGAGGCCUUGUGUCCACCGCUCUGAGCGCGUGGGACGAGGCAUGAAAACAAGUCAGCCCUGAACGUGGAGAAUCUGGUUCCUGCCCACUGGAGCAGAGCUCCUGUGUCCCACCUCCCCUCCACCUGCUGAAACGUCAUUGGCACCCAGCAGGUCCCCGGCCUGCCAGUGAAAAGCUCCACUGCCCUCCCGCGGUGAGGCUGGCUCCAGCGCCAGCUGCUGUACUAUCUCAAGACCUCGAUCCAGCUGCAUCACUGCAGUGCCAGGGCCAGCUCCAGAGAGGCCCAGCAAAAACAAGGCAAACGUCACUGGUAGAAAGACAACUGAACCUAGGAAAGCAUUCCUCAGAACCCAAAGCCAGAGGAAGGUUAGCAUCCU